Molecule: transfer RNA, 55 nt
Filed under: Phyllocoptes taishanensis
Lineage: Eukaryota; Metazoa; Arthropoda; Arachnida; Trombidiformes; Eriophyidae
Description: tRNA-Thr
Source: RNAcentral
UCUCCUGCCUGCCAGAAAAAGAAGCUUUGUAAGCAUCUAACACACACCUGGCUAU